GCUGGACCUUAGUGUUCUUUUCUGGGCCUUCCUUUCUUAGAUUGAUGACUGGUGAGGAGGAAUUAUUAUUUGUUUCCACACCACCAAUUUCUCCCAUUUCUACUCCCCCUUCUCCAGCUGACUACUGGAACCUGAGCCAUUUAUUAGGUUGGGUUUUUUUGUUUUUUUUUGUUUUUUUUGCUUAUAUUGAGAGUGGAGGAAGUUAGAACAUACUUGCUACAUACAUAAGCUUUAUAACAAACCUCAUAAUCAUCACCAAUUUCAUCUUCAUAAAAAUGGAAACAUUCUAAUAGUCUCUCUCAUUGAACAUUUGCUGUGUCCCAGUGCUGUCAGAAGAAUUUUAUACACAUCUCAUUUAAUACUCACCACAACUUUGUGAAAUAGGAAGCUGAGAUAUAGAAUGCCUGCAUGACUUGCCCAAGGUCUCAGAGUGCAGAAGAGGCAAGGAUUAAUAAUGUUUGCUGGGCUUGUAAUUUUAAGAUCCUUUUUAUGGACAAAGAACUUAAGCAAACAGAAUGAUCCUUAGGUUGACAGCAGAACAGUUAAUGGAGACGUACUCUACUUCAUUGUUGUUGACCAUUGGCUAUUUGGGGAAUGGGGUCAGGUGGAUUUCGCAUGGCUAUUAAAAUAAUCAACUUAAAUAAAAAAUACAUCCCAAUAUA
This is a non-coding RNA of Macaca mulatta (Rhesus monkey), 662 nucleotides long. The record is from RefSeq and is a predicted model, not a curated record. Lineage: Eukaryota; Metazoa; Chordata; Mammalia; Primates; Cercopithecidae.